AGCUAAAAUUGACGCGUAGAAGAGUCUGCACCAAGUAUAAGCGCCAGCCGCAUGUCCGCCCGCGAGUGUUGGGACAACGGUAAACCCAAGUGGAAGAAAACAGACUCCGAGAAGAAUCGGGGCAUCCACGCAACAGGAGGGGGCACUGGUAUCGCACCCGCUGAACAAUGGGCCCGUCCCUCCAUCUUGUGGGUGCAUUGGUGUCCCACAUGGCAAUGCGGCUGCCAAGCCCAUACAACAGUGGCAGCGCCCGCGCUGGUUGGCCGGUGCUCUCAAUGCUGCCAGCCGCCAUUCCCGAAGCCACAGUGAACGAGCAUGACGACUGGCAUGAUGCCUGAUUCACCUGCCUCACCGCUGCUGGACUGGGGUGGCAUCAUGGAGGUUGCGGUUGCUGCGCCACCAACCAAGCCCCCACCUCCUCUACCUCCUCAGCCGCCACGUGUGGUUGUCCGAGUGAAGACAACUAAAGGCUGCACCGACUGGAGGAGCUGCACCUGCUGC
This 501-nucleotide long non-coding RNA is filed under the name Ixodes scapularis (black-legged tick). RNAcentral describes it as "uncharacterized LOC121835963". Lineage: Eukaryota; Metazoa; Arthropoda; Arachnida; Ixodida; Ixodidae. The record is from RNAcentral.